AACGUCACCGGACUCAUUUUGAUGCGGCACCUCUACCAGCAGACAUCACCAGCGGUGUCCUCGCGAUUUUAAAUGUAUUUGUUCGCCUCGCCCGUUGAAGAUGCUUCACCUCCAGGGUCAACGUCUCUGAUGGGUUCAAACCAACGGACCCAACCGAGACAUGUGACGACCAAUCAGAGCCCUGAAGCCGGAUCAACGUCUUGCUGACAGUUUUCGAACCAAUGGACACAACCAAUCACUGCUGGGUCAACGUCUCUGAUGGGUUCAAACCAACGGACCCAACCGGAGACAUGUGACGACCAAUCAGAGCCAUGAAGCCGGUGAGUGUUACUAAUAUUUAAUCAUUAUGAUUCUGGAUUGCUGCAAUUCUUCUGCCAUUCGUAGUUUCCUCCAGAGGUUUCGCCACAUGGACACAGAAACAUGGACUGGCAACAAUGCUGUGUUUCUAUCUGACUCCUUAAACUAAACAUAGCUAGCAAACAUGGAAAUAAUGAUUGUUCUGGUCCAGCCGUACCAUGUCUACUAGCUAACGGUAGUGGUUGAGGUCGUAGGUCAGCGGGAAGACUUCCCCUUCCAAAAAGCACUUGCUCGGUCGGCUCAGUGACGGGCGAGUUGUCGAAGAAGGGAACAUGAACCUCGUCACUGUGGGUGAGACGGCAGCUUCUCAUUGGCUGACUCGUCUCAAUCAGUGACGAGACACUAGAACCUAUUAAUAAUAAUGCCGUGGGUGGUCUAAACUUUGAACGCAUCUUGUUGGUCAACUUCAACUGACUGAAACUCCGUCUCUUUGAGGGUCAACGGACCCAACCAGAUACGGCCAAUCACUGCCUGUAAGUCUUUAUUGAAUCAUGUUUCCGUCUCUUUUCGCUGUGAUGACGAUUCUUCCUCCAUUCGUAGUUUCCUCCAGAGGUCUCACGACCAGAGACGGCCCAAUCCUUCCUUGGAUGUCUGAACGACCUCUGUUCUCCCUGUGACCUUUGACCCGUACUCCAUCAGCUGACUUGUUUUUUGUGUCCCGCAGAUCUGGAACCAGGAGCUCCACAGAGUUUCUCCUCCUGGAGGCAGAGGAGCUGAUCAAUACAGAUCAAUAAAGAUCAGCUGAUUCUCAAUAAAUCUGAGGAACUGUAA
Pseudoliparis swirei is the source of this 1128-nucleotide long non-coding RNA. RefSeq lists it as uncharacterized. The transcript has 5 exons. The record is from RefSeq and is a predicted model, not a curated record. NCBI's taxonomy places the organism in Eukaryota, Metazoa, Chordata, Actinopteri, Perciformes, Liparidae.